This 208-nucleotide long non-coding RNA is filed under the name Elaeis guineensis (African oil palm). RNAcentral describes it as "long non-coding RNA (EGUI_LNC025961)". Lineage: Eukaryota; Viridiplantae; Streptophyta; Magnoliopsida; Arecales; Arecaceae. The record is from RNAcentral.
GGGGGGACAGACUCGGGAAAGCCACCCGCAAGUGCUAGAGCGUAGGACACGGCGAUCCCUAAGUCCUUGCUAUGAACAUGACUCAACCUUUAGCCAAUCUCACUCAUCGUAUUCAGAAGCCUAUACUAUCUGAGAUAUAAAAAUUGACCACAGACUUCGGGACAUGAAUCAGUGGAUCGAAGUCCUUUGUAACCAGGCUCUGGCAUGG